CCCGCGGGGUCGGUCGGCCUCCCCGACUGCCGCGGCGGCGGCGGCGGAGCCGGGGGCUUUG
This 61-nucleotide microRNA precursor is filed under the name Cricetulus griseus (Chinese hamster). Its description in RNAcentral is "miRNA (ENSCGRG00001007200.1)". The record is from RNAcentral. Lineage: Eukaryota; Metazoa; Chordata; Mammalia; Rodentia; Cricetidae.